GAAUUUGAGGGUGACCUGGCUGUGACAAGCCACCCCACUGAUCACCAGUGUUUUUUUAACUGAUCUUACUGGCUUGCUGGGUGUCCCCUUUCUCCUCCACAGUUCC
Propithecus coquereli (Coquerel's sifaka) is the source of this 106-nucleotide unclassified non-coding RNA. Its record names the gene 7SK. It matches the Rfam family "7SK RNA". Rfam says of the family: 7SK was discovered as an abundant small nuclear RNA in the mid-70s but a possible function has only recently been suggested. Two independent studies have found that 7SK RNA binds the CDK9/cyclin T complex (known as elongation factor P-TEFb). NCBI's taxonomy places the organism in Eukaryota, Metazoa, Chordata, Mammalia, Primates, Indriidae. The record is from Ensembl.